Molecule: microRNA precursor, 128 nt
Filed under: Beta vulgaris subsp. vulgaris (sugar beet)
Lineage: Eukaryota; Viridiplantae; Streptophyta; Magnoliopsida; Caryophyllales; Amaranthaceae
Description: pre miRNA MIR408
Source: RNAcentral
AAUUGGUUUCCGAGGAGAAAGAAGAAGAGGAAGAGGAAGAAGAUAAUGGGACUGAAAACGACUAUGGAGCUGAUUGAUUUCUUCUCUUUUUCUUCUUAUUCUAUUUUGCUGCUAACCCCUCUCUUUUA